CUUUCUCUGCUCAGAGACACCCUGUGUUUAGCUUUCAUUUCGAUGGCUGCUGGGUGGUCCCUUUAGGCAGUGUGUCACCAGGAAAGAAGCAGGACAGAGGCCACUGAGAGCCUUCGCCUUCCCAUCCUGGAAGCCCUCCCGGGGGUCUCAGCCUGCACGUCUCUGCUGAGCUGUUUUAUUUUGCCAUCUCAAGCUACAAGGAAGGAGGGGGCCCAAACAUUUCAGCGGAGCAGGUUGCUACACUAGGUGACUCUGGCGUCCACGAGAAUACAGAUGCGGGGGCUGGACGGGGGUCGCGUGGUCAGCAGCUUCCCUUUCCACGAUUUCUCACUGGAGACCCCAAGCUUGGGUCACUCCCAUAUCACUCCAUGAUGACCGUCACCUGGGUAACCACCGUUUAUCUUGUUCCCUCCGUUUUAGAUCCGCGCCCUGGCGGCCUCUCCAGGAGCACGUUGAGGAUGGGCGUGUGGAGCCAGCCACUGACGGAGGAGAUGUCCAGGCGCGGCUGAUCUCACCCACAUCGAGUGAUUUGGAAACCGGAGCCUCGCCUUGGACUCCUUUCUCCAUGACUCAUAACUUUUGUUCAACCUGGAAGGAAUGCCAGCUUGGGAAGAUGGCAGAGCUUUGCUUCAGGGGGAAGCUUACUUUCUUGUCUCUAAGGCCAAGUAAAAAAUGUGAAACAUUUUCAUAUACCACAAAGGUAAUACAGCAGGCUGGAGUCACUCUAAUCAAAUUGGGGGCAAUUCCUUUGUAAAAUCCACCGAUGCCUUCUUUCCU
RNAcentral lists this long non-coding RNA (777 nucleotides) under Ictidomys tridecemlineatus (thirteen-lined ground squirrel). Its description in RNAcentral is "lncRNA (ENSSTOG00000029375.1)". Lineage: Eukaryota; Metazoa; Chordata; Mammalia; Rodentia; Sciuridae. The record is from RNAcentral.